GUGAGACCAUAGUUAUGCACAAGUUGAACAUAUUGUAGGAGUUUGAUUAUAUAAAAUCAUUUCAUGAUGGAUAAUGAGAGUUUAUGACUCACAAUAAAUAGCCAAAUAGAUUAGGAAUUAUGCAUUCACACCACAUGUUUCAAAAAGAGGCUUCCCAAGCUUGCGACCUAAAGUUUGUUUAUCAAUUGGUAGAAUAUUUUUUGUUAGUUUUGUUAAGACCUAGAUUUCGUAUCCAAAAACCCACUUGGUGGUAAAGCUCCAACCUAAGAGUAUCCAUCCAAUAUCAUAUGCAUUGCAUCAUUUGCAACAUCAUUUAGGGAAUCAUAACAAGAAUAUGUAAUCCAAUAAUGAAACAAAUUCGAAAAAGCUCAUUCAUGCAUAGGCAAGGAUGCCAGAAGUGCACAACUUGAUAGAGUUUGGUAAAUUAUUGAAAGGGAAAAAACGCAGAGAUUUUGAUAAGAAAUAUGGAAAUGUUUUAAAUCUAAUAGAAGUAAAUGUCCAAGUGGAGGCAAUUACAACAUUGUCUCAGUUUUAUGAUCCUCAAUUCAGAUGUUUCACUUUUAGCGACUUUCAAAUGGUGCCUACUUUAGAAGAGUAUGAACAGAUUCUAGGGUAUUCUUUCAAAAAUAUUAAGCCUUACCACUAUAAGGGACAUUACCCUGCUUCUAAAAUGGUUGCAUCACUUCUGAAAGUUAAACAAGAUAAGUUGGAGAAAUACAUGAAGAGUCCCAAUGGUGUUUAUGGUAUACCGCUAUCAUACCUAAAUGAGCGAUUAGAAUCAUUUCAUGAAGAAGGGGAUUGGGCUGCCUUUGCAGAUGUGUUAGCCCUUGCCAUUUUUGGGAUUGUUUUGUUUCCAAAUAUAGACAACCACAUCGACUUUGCAGCAAUCAAUGUUUUCCUAGCAGUGAGGAACGAACGUCAGAACCCGGUUCCUACUGUGCUUGCAUAGACAUAUUAUACCGUGAAUUGUUGUCAUGAGAUGAAAAAGAAGAGAACAUUAUGUUGCUUGUCUGCACUCUCUGUGUGGCUAAUCACACAUAUAUUUCAUAGUGGGCUUAGAGCAUCAUGUCCUAUUCUUGAUUUCAAGCAGUGCUUUGUGAAACCUAAGAACAAAUUUGAUUGGGGGAGAUAUUUAGGUGAUCUUAGUGAGAAGACAGUUCGAUGGUACCCAAAAUGGCGAGAAGUGGGUACGGUAAUUUAUCAAUGUGGUACUUUUCCAAAUGUGCCUCUCUUGGGAACAAAAGGUUGUAUAUACUACAAUCCUUCUCUAGCAUUAAGACAAUUGUGCUACCCCAUCAUGAACUCGCCAGAAGAAGAUUCGAGUUUGACAGCCUCAUUUAUUGUACAUGGAAUAGACAACAAGGAUAUAGAGGAGCAUAGAAGAGUCAGAAAAGCAUGGAACCAUAUUGGUCACAGAGGGAGAGAACUUGGAAAGAGGAGCACUGACGCCCUCAAUUGAGAAUGAAAUUCCAUAACCUACCCCUUUUACAAAUGAAGAGGUAGGAGAGUUUAAAGCAGAAUUGUUAAAGCUCAAAGAAAAAAAUGAAGAGUUAGAAGAAAAGCUGGAAAAGGUAAUGAUGAAGAGAGAAGGAGGUUUUGGUGGUUUGUGAGGUAAAGAAGAACAAACAGCAUAGAUAGAGAGAUUCAUAUACACUACCCAUUGUUCGAUCUCAAAUCAACGCAUAUACUCGCUAUCUCCAUAACAAGAAUGGAGAUAGCACCUAUUCACAAGGUAAACACCAUCUUUCUGAGCCCUUUCCUUGUGUCGCAAGAUUCUCUAACCCAACCAACUUUCAAGCUUACUACAUACCGAAUUGAUGGAUACAAGAUCAUGAAGGUAAAACUAUAGUAACAACUAAAUAAUAUCCUAAAGUUUCUCGUGUUAUAUUCAAUCAACAGAAAUUUAAAUAAAAUAAUAUCUAUUUAUUCAAGCUAAUGAGUAAUUAGGC
RNAcentral lists this long non-coding RNA (1949 nucleotides) under Medicago truncatula (barrel medic). RNAcentral describes it as "lncRNA gene37493". Lineage: Eukaryota; Viridiplantae; Streptophyta; Magnoliopsida; Fabales; Fabaceae. The record is from RNAcentral.